Molecule: ribosomal RNA, 504 nt
Filed under: uncultured bacterium
Lineage: Bacteria
Description: bacterial SSU rRNA
Rfam family: Bacterial small subunit ribosomal RNA
Source: RNAcentral
UAGUCCACGCCGUAAACGAUGAGAACUAGAUGUUGGGAGGAAUAGCCUUUCGGUGUCGCAGCUAACGCAUUAAGUUCUCCGCCUGGGGAGUACGCCGGCAACGGUAAAACUCAAAGGAAUUGACGGGGACCCGCACAAGCGGUGGAGCAUGUGGUUUAAUUCGAUGCAACGCGAAGAACCUUACCUGCCCUUGACAUACAGAGAACUUUCCAGAGAUGGAUUGGUGCCUUCGGGAACUCUGAUACAGGUGCUGCAUGGCUGUCGUCAGCUCGUGUCGUGAGAUGUUGGGUUAAGUCCCGCAACGAGCGCAACCCUUGUCUUUAGUUGCCAUCAUUUAGUUGGGCACUCUAGAGAAACUGCCGGUGACAAACCGGAGGAAGGUAAGGAUGACGUCAAGUCAGCAUGCCCCUUACGCUCUGGGCUACACACGUGCUACAAUGGUCGUGACAAAGAGUUGCUAGUCUGCGAAGGCAAGCCAAUCUCAUAAACGCGGCCUUAGUUCGG